Erinaceus europaeus (western European hedgehog) is the source of this 129-nucleotide small nucleolar RNA. The record is from Ensembl. Lineage: Eukaryota; Metazoa; Chordata; Mammalia; Eulipotyphla; Erinaceidae.
AAGCCAGUCAGUGAAUCUGCUUACCUGCUUGUGAUUCUGCAGAAAUUUUUUAUAACUGGUGAUAGCAAUGACAUGUUAUGAGCCUUAAUGACACUGGUGUUAUUAAGGUCCCUGAAAGUGGCUGUAUGA